Molecule: ribosomal RNA, 461 nt
Filed under: uncultured bacterium
Lineage: Bacteria
Description: bacterial SSU rRNA
Rfam family: Bacterial small subunit ribosomal RNA
Source: RNAcentral
GGGCCCGCACAAGCGGUGGAGUAUGUGGCUUAAUUCGAUGCAACGCGAAGAACCUUACCUAGCCUUGACAUGCAAAGGACAAAUAUUGAAAAAUAUUUUCCUUCGGGACCUUUGCACAGGUGCUGCAUGGCUGUCGUCAGCUCGUGUCGUGAGAUGUUGCGUUAAGUCGCGCAACGAGCGCAACCCCUGUCUCUAGUUGCCAUCAUUUAGUUGGGCACUCUAGAGAGACAAACCCGUUUUCGGGUGGGAAGGUGGGGAUGACGUCAAGUCAGGAUGGCCCUUACGGCUAGGGCUGCACACGUACUACAAUGCACGGUACAGUAGGAUGCGACACUGCGAAGUGAAGCAAAUCCAUAAAACCGUGCUCAGUUCAGAUUGUAGUCUGCAACUCGACUACAUGAAGUUGGAAUCGCUAGUAAUGGCGCAUCAGCUACGGCGCCGUGAAUACGUUCCCGGGCCUU